Molecule: ribosomal RNA, 301 nt
Filed under: uncultured bacterium
Lineage: Bacteria
Description: partial 16S ribosomal RNA
Rfam family: Bacterial small subunit ribosomal RNA
Source: RNAcentral
CAGCAGCCGCGGUAACACGAGGGGGGCAAGCGUUGUUCGGAAUUAUUGGGCGUAAAGGGCGCGUAGGCGGUUUGGCAAGUUUGGUGUGAAAUCUUCGGGCUCAACUCGAAGUCUGCACCGAAAACUGCCGGGCUUGAGUAUGGGAGAGGUGAGUGGAAUUUCCGGUGUAGCGGUGAAAUGCGUAGAUAUCGGAAGGAACACCUGUGGCGAAAGCGGCUCACUGGACCAUUACUGACGCUGAGGCGCGAAAGCUAGGGGAGCAAACAGGAUUAGAGACCCCCGUAGUCCCUGUCUCUUAUAC